GAUGAACGCUAGCGGCAGGCCUAAUACAUGCAAGUCGGACGGGAUUCAGGAGCUUGCUUCUGAUGAGAGUGGCGCACGGGUGCGUAACACGUAUGUAACCUACCUUUAUCAGGGGGAUAGCCUCUCGAAAGAGAGAUUAAGCCCGCAUAAAAUCACAGCACAGCAUUGUGUAAUGAUCAAAUAUUUAUAGGAUAAAGAUGGGCAUGCGGAACAUUAGCUAGAUGGCGGGGUAACGGCCCACCAUGGCGACGAUGUUUAGGGGAUCUGAGAGGAUGGCCCCCCACACUGGUACUGAGACACUGACCAGACUCCUACGGGAGGCAGCAGUAAGGAAUAUUGGUCAAUGGGCGGAAGCCUGAACCAGCCAUGCCGCGUGCAGGAAGACGGCCCUACGGGUUGUAAACUGCUUUUAUACGGGAAUAAACCCAGAUACGUGUAUCUGGCUGAAUGUACUGUAAGAAUAAGGAUCGGCUAACUCCGUG
RNAcentral lists this ribosomal RNA (482 nucleotides) under uncultured bacterium. RNAcentral describes it as "partial 16S ribosomal RNA". It matches the Rfam family "Bacterial small subunit ribosomal RNA", at positions 28 to 507 of the family's 1533-position model. The record is from RNAcentral.